This 188-nucleotide ribosomal RNA is filed under the name Trigonopterus sp. 36 AR-2022a. Its description in RNAcentral is "partial small subunit ribosomal RNA". It matches the Rfam family "Eukaryotic small subunit ribosomal RNA", at positions 58 to 239 of the family's 1831-position model. The record is from RNAcentral. Lineage: Eukaryota; Metazoa; Arthropoda; Insecta; Coleoptera; Curculionidae.
UCUCAGUACAAGCCAAAUUAAGGUGAAACCGCGAAAGGCUCAUUAAAUCAGUUAUGGUUCCUUAGAUCGUACCCACAAUUACUUGGAUAACUGUGGUAAUUCUAGAGCUAAUACAUGCAAACAGAGCUCCGCCCGGAGACGGAAGGAGUGCUUUUAUUAGAUCAAAACCAAUCGGUGGCGAGUUCGCU